UACCAGCUCUCCGAGUGGUGGGGACGCUUAUUGGGCCUAAAGCAUCCGUAGCCGGCUGGGCAAGUCCUCCGUUAAAUCCAACGAUUCAAUCGUUGGCCUGCAGGGGAUACUGUCUGGCUAGGAGGCGGUAGAGGCCUACGGUAUUUCCGGGGUAGGGGUGAAAUCCUAUAAUCCCGGGAGGACCAUCAGUGGCGAAGGCUGUCGGCUGGAACGCGCUCGACGGUGAGGGAUGAAAGCUGGGGGAGCGAACCGGAUUAGAUACCCGGGUAGUCCCAGCUGUAAACUUUGCAGGCUGGGUGUUGGUGCGGCUACGUGCCGCUCCGGUGCCGUAGGGAAACCGUUAAGCCUGCCGCCUGGGAAGUACGGUCGCAAGGCUGAAACUUAAAGGAUUGGCGGGGAGCACCACAAGGCGUGAAGCUUGCGGUUC
This 427-nucleotide ribosomal RNA is filed under the name uncultured archaeon. Its description in RNAcentral is "bacterial SSU rRNA". It matches the Rfam family "Archaeal small subunit ribosomal RNA", at positions 474 to 903 of the family's 1478-position model. The record is from RNAcentral.